GGGGUCGUAGCUCAGUUGGCAGAGCGUCUCGUUCGCAAUGAGAAGGUCAGGGGUUCGACUCCCUCGGCUCCACCA
This 75-nucleotide transfer RNA is filed under the name Verrucomicrobiota bacterium. RNAcentral describes it as "Verrucomicrobia bacterium tRNA-Ala". It matches the Rfam family "tRNA". Rfam says of the family: Transfer RNA (tRNA) molecules are approximately 80 nucleotides in length. The record is from RNAcentral. Lineage: Bacteria; Pseudomonadati; Verrucomicrobiota.